Molecule: ribosomal RNA, 1152 nt
Filed under: human gut metagenome
Description: bacterial LSU rRNA
Rfam family: Bacterial large subunit ribosomal RNA
Source: RNAcentral
AGGUGUGGAUAGCGGAGAAAUUCCAAUCGAACCCGGAGAUAGCUGGUUCUCCUCGAAAUAGCUUUAGGGCUAGCCUCGUUUUAGUCUGGUGGAGGUAGAGCACUGAAUUCCCAAGGGGGCGUCAAAGCUUACUAAGGGAUAUCAAACUCCGAAUGCCAUACAGAUGAUGAACGGGAGUCAGACUAUACGAGAUAAGUUGGAUAGUCAAAAGGGAAAGAGCCCAGACCUGCAGCUAAGGUCCCAAAGUGCAUGUUAAGUGGAAAAGGAUGUGGGAUCUCUAAGACAACUAGGAUGUUGGCUCAGAAGCAGCCAUUCAUUCAAAGAGUGCGUAACAGCUCACUAGUCGAGAGGUCCUGCGCCGAAAAUGUCCGGGGCUAAAACAUGCCACCGAAGCUCAGGAAUGACAUAGUCAUUGGUAGAGGAGCAUUCUUAACGCGAAGAAGCAGUACCGUAAGGAGCUGUGGAGUGCUAAGAAGAGAGAAUGCCGGAAUGAGUAGCGAGAACAAGGUGAGAAUCCUUGUGGCCGAAUAUCCAAGGUCUCCAGGGUAAAGCUGAUCUGCCCUGGGAAAGUCGGGACCUAAGGUCAGGCUGAAAAGCGUAGCCGAUGGACAACAGGUUGAUAUUCCUGUACCGCAUGGUAACAGAACUGUGGGGACACGGGAGGGAAACAUGGGCCGGAAAUGGAAAGUCCGGUACAAACGGGGUAGUCGCACAGCAGGCAAAUCCGCUGUGCAUAAGACGAAGCCGUGAUGUGGAGCGAAAUGAAGUAGCGAAGCAUGUGCCCCCUCCUGUCGAGAAAAGCCGCUAUUGUUUGCCAUGCGCCCGUACCGUAAACCGACACAGGUGGAUGAGGAGAGAAUCCUAAGGCCGGCGGGAGAAGCAUUGUCAAGGAACUCGGCAAAAUGACCCCGUAACUUCGGGAGAAGGGGUGCCCACGCAAGUGGGCCGCAGAGAAUAGGCUCAAGCAACUGUUUAGCAAAAACACAGGUCUAUGCGAAACCGUAAGGUGAUGUAUAUGGGCUGACGCCUGCCCGGUGCUGGAAGGUUAAGAGGAGAGGUUAGAGCAAUCGAAGCUUUGAAUUGAAGCCCCAGUAAACGGCGGCCGUAACUAUAACGGUCCUAAGGUAGCGAAAUUCCUUGUCGGGUAAGUUC